Long non-coding RNA from Venturia canescens, 768 nucleotides. RefSeq lists it as uncharacterized. NCBI's taxonomy places the organism in Eukaryota, Metazoa, Arthropoda, Insecta, Hymenoptera, Ichneumonidae. The transcript is spliced from 4 exons. The record is from RefSeq and is a predicted model, not a curated record.
CCCUGCGCUAUUUAAAAUCUCAGCGAGCACAAGACCAGAUACGUCGUAAAAACAACGUGUGAAAAAAAACUCUCUAUUUUAUGUGUCGAUUCUGCUGGAACGAAAAUAACGACGAUCAACAUGCUCAGCGAAGUUCGAGGCACAAGACAAAGGGACAUCGAAAUUUCGAGGAAAACUGACGUAAGAAAUUUGCAAACUGAUCCUCCAACCACGUGUUUCGACUUCGAGACUUUUUUCAAAUCGUACCAACAACCGAUCUCGGAGAAUCGACGUGCGAGCUUCGGACCCACUCAUAACCUCAAAAUUCUACGAGUGUAAUUACCGACACGGCGGCGUCUUCACUGAAGGAAGGAUGUUUGAGUUGGCCGCGCCUACGUACGCGAGAGUUUCUCGUAUUUUAAUGUAAGACGAGAAGAGAACCGCGAUCAUAUGUGCAAAGCGGAGAGAGAGAGAGAGAGAGAAGGAGUGAAACGGCAUCGAAGAUUUGACACCUCUCGCCCUGAGAUUGACAAUUCUCAUGAAACCCCCAUUCUCAUUGCCGCGAUAAGACGGAAUAGAAAAUAGUCCGAAACGCGGUUGCUUUCCGUCAGAGGUUAUUUCGAAUUUUUUAUCGAAAUUGACCAAUUUCGGCGUCAAGAUGCUGCAGCAUCGCUCCGCAUCGUCGUCGGACGAAGACGAAGGGAUCGAAGGAAUCGAUAGAUUCGGUCCUGUUUUGCGUCUGGCCUACAAAAGUCUCGGCGCAAGGGUUGAAUUUGGCGUAUUGAAAAA